AACGAACGCUGGCGGCGCGCCUAAUACAUGCAAGUCGAGCGAGAAGGUGUAGCAAUACACUUGUAAAGCGGCGAACGGGUGAGGAAUGCAUGGGUAACCUACCCUCGAGUGGGGAAUAACUAGCCGAAAGGUUAGCUAAUACCGCAUACGUUUCCGGAACUUCGGUUUCGGAAAGAAAGCAAUACCGUGGGUAUUGCGCUCCUGGAUGGGCUCAUGUCCUAUCAGCUUGUUGGUGAGGUAACGGCUCACCAAGGCUUCGACGGGUAGCUGGUCUGAGAGGACGAUCAGCCACACUGGCACUGCGACACGGGCCAGACUCCUACGGGAGGCAGCAGUAAGGAAUAUUGCGCAAUGGACGGAAAAGUACUGACGCCAGCGACGCCGCGUGGGGGAGU
Molecule: ribosomal RNA, 395 nt
Filed under: uncultured bacterium
Lineage: Bacteria
Description: bacterial SSU rRNA
Rfam family: Bacterial small subunit ribosomal RNA
Source: RNAcentral